GCCCCGGUGGGGUAGGCGGACAUCCUGAGGGUCUCCGGAACCCUCGACCCGGGUUCGAAUCCCGGCCGGGGCG
Molecule: transfer RNA, 73 nt
Organism: Ferroglobus placidus DSM 10642
Lineage: Archaea; Methanobacteriati; Methanobacteriota; Archaeoglobi; Archaeoglobales; Archaeoglobaceae
Rfam family: tRNA
About the family: Transfer RNA (tRNA) molecules are approximately 80 nucleotides in length. Their secondary structure includes four short double-helical elements and three loops (D, anti-codon, and T loops). Further hydrogen bonds mediate the characteristic L-shaped molecular structure. tRNAs have two regions of fundamental functional importance: the anti-codon, which is responsible for specific mRNA codon recognition, and the 3' end, to which the tRNAs corresponding amino acid is attached (by aminoacyl-tRNA synthetases). tRNAs cope with the degeneracy of the genetic code in two manners: having more than one tRNA (with a specific anti-codon) for a particular amino acid; and 'wobble' base-pairing, i.e. permitting non-standard base-pairing at the 3rd anti-codon position.
Source: Rfam